RNAcentral lists this ribosomal RNA (497 nucleotides) under uncultured bacterium. RNAcentral's name for it is "partial 16S ribosomal RNA". It matches the Rfam family "Bacterial small subunit ribosomal RNA", at positions 28 to 507 of the family's 1533-position model. The record is from RNAcentral.
GAUGAACGCUGGCGGCGUGCCUAAUACAUGCAAGUCGAGCGAACGGACGAGAAGCUUGCUUCUCUGAUGUUAGCGGCGGACGAGUGAGUAACACGUGGAUAACCUACCUAUAAGACUGGGAUAACUUCGGGAAACCGGAGCUAAUACCGGAUAAUAUUUUGAACCGCAUGGUUCAAAAGUGAAAGACGGUCUUGCUGUCACUUAUAGAUGGAUCCGCGCUGCAUUAGCUAGUUGGUAAGGUAACGGCUUACCAAGGCAACGAUGCAUAGCCGACCUGAGAGGGAGAACGGCCACAAUGGAACUGAGACACGGUCCAGACUCCUACGGGAGGCAGCAGUAGGGAAUCUUCCGCAAUGGGCGAAAGCCUGACGGAGCAACGCCGCGUGAGUGAUGAAGGUCUUCGGAUCGUAAAACUCUGUUAUUAGGGAAGAACAUAUGUGUAAGUAACUGUGCACAUCUUGACGGUACCUAAUCAGAAAGCCACGGCUAACUACGUG